This 231-nucleotide unclassified non-coding RNA is filed under the name Hevea brasiliensis (rubber tree). Lineage: Eukaryota; Viridiplantae; Streptophyta; Magnoliopsida; Malpighiales; Euphorbiaceae. The record is from RNAcentral.
GCAUAUCUUGAAGUUAAUUCUUCAAUAGGAAGGUUGUAUUGUAGAUCAUGUGAGUAGAGAGUAGCUAAUAGGACAGCAAACUGGCUAGUCCAAGAUCAUAAAUAAUUUAUCCAUAGGCAUGCUUUAGUUUAGGAUUCUCUUAAACAAGACCUAUAAUAGCAGGACAAAUAUGUUACAAUUUCCCCACAUUCACGGUCAGCACCUUGAUUGUCGUCUCUUUUUUUUUUCCUA